This 68-nucleotide transfer RNA is filed under the name Enterobacter sp. SST3. Its description in RNAcentral is "tRNA-OTHER". It matches the Rfam family "tRNA", at positions 1 to 62 of the family's 71-position model. From Rfam's summary of the family: Transfer RNA (tRNA) molecules are approximately 80 nucleotides in length. Their secondary structure includes four short double-helical elements and three loops (D, anti-codon, and T loops). Lineage: Bacteria; Pseudomonadati; Pseudomonadota; Gammaproteobacteria; Enterobacterales; Enterobacteriaceae. The record is from RNAcentral.
GCCGACUUAGCUCAGUAGGUAGAGCAACUGACUUGUAAUCAGUAUGUCCUAUCCUGUUUCUGGCACUA